Molecule: ribosomal RNA, 947 nt
Filed under: Cantharellus amethysteus
Lineage: Eukaryota; Fungi; Basidiomycota; Agaricomycetes; Cantharellales; Hydnaceae
Also listed under: 1 other name
Description: eukaryotic LSU rRNA
Rfam family: Eukaryotic large subunit ribosomal RNA
Source: RNAcentral
AGACUACCCCCUGGACUUAAGCAUAUCACUAAGCGGAGGAAAAGAAACUAACUAGGAUUCCCCCAGUAACUGCGAGUGAAGAGGGAAGAGCUCAUCAUUGGAAUCUGGCAGUGUUGCACUGUCCGAGUUGUAGAUGAGGAGUAGUCCAUCUGGACUGCAUGGCGUCCAAGUACAAUAGGCCGUCAGUGGGACAUCAUAGAGGGUGACAAUCCCGUCCUUGAUGCCAAUGUGCAAGUCCGUUACGAUGGCUAUCUCAGAGAGUCGAGCAGUUUGGGAUUUGCUGCUUAAACAUGGGAGGUAGAUUCCUUCUAAAGCUAAAUACAGGCGAGAGACCGAUAGAGAACAAGUACCGCAAGGGAAAGAUGAAAUAGCACUCUGUGAAGGGAGUCAAAAGGCGUGAAAUUGUUGCGAGAGAAGCGAUUCAAGUCAGCGUAGCUAGGCCCAUCAAGCGUCUCGCUUUGGACUAGCUUUGCCAGCGGUCUUGUCCUUUAGAGAGAGACUUGACUUGUUAACGAUGUCCAGCCUGGUAUGCACAGGUAGCCCCCCGGGGUCAGUGGCAUGGCUGGUGGAAUGGCUUGCAAUCGACCCGUCUUGAAACACGGACCAAGGAGUCUAACAUGUAUGCGAGUAUAAGGGUGGCAAACCCGUAUGCGCAAUGAAAGUGAUUUUCGGUGAUUGAGAAUGGCCUGAUGACCAGACAAGCAAUACAUGUCCCUCGGACGGCCAUUGCCCAAGUUCCGUGGUAGAUCCCAUGAACAUGGAGUUGGAGCAUACAUGCUAGGACCCGAAAGAUGGUGAACUAUGCCUGGACAAAGCGAAGCCAAAGGAAACUCUGGUGGAGGCUUGUAGCGAUUCUGACGUGCAAAUCGAUCGUCUGAUCUGGGUAUAGGGGCGAAAGACUAAUCGAACCAUCUCAUAGCUGGUUCCUGCCGAAGUUUCCCUCAGGA